GCCUACGGGGGGCACAGUGGGGAAUAUUGGGCAAUGGGCGCAAGCCUGACCCAGCAACGCCGCGUGAAGGAAGAAGGCUUUCGGGUUGUAAACUUCUUUUCUUGGGGACGAAGAAAGUGACGGUACCCAAGGAAUAAGCCACGGCUAACUACGUGCCAGCAGCCGCGGUAAUACGUAGGUGGCAGGCGUUAUCCGGAUUUAUUGGGUGUAAAGGGCGUGUAGGCGGGAUUGCAAGUCAGAUGUGAAAACCAAGGGCUCAACCUGUGGCCUGCAUUUGAA
RNAcentral lists this ribosomal RNA (279 nucleotides) under uncultured bacterium. RNAcentral describes it as "partial 16S ribosomal RNA". It matches the Rfam family "Bacterial small subunit ribosomal RNA", at positions 337 to 631 of the family's 1533-position model. The record is from RNAcentral.